CCACGCCGUAAACGAUGAGCACUAGAUGUCGGGUUCGCAAGAAUUCGGUGUCGCAGUUAACGCAUUAAGUGCUCCGCCUGGGGAGUACGCACGCAAGUGUGAAACUCAAAGGAAUUGACGGGGACCCGCACAAGCAGCGGAGCAUGUGGUUUAAUUCGAAGCAACGCGAAGAACCUUACCAGGACUUGACAUCCCUCUGACAGCUCUUUAACAGGAGCCUUCUUCGGACAGAGGAGACAGGUGGUGCAUGGUUGU
Molecule: ribosomal RNA, 255 nt
Filed under: uncultured bacterium
Lineage: Bacteria
Description: partial 16S ribosomal RNA
Rfam family: Bacterial small subunit ribosomal RNA
Source: RNAcentral